This 467-nucleotide ribosomal RNA is filed under the name uncultured Steroidobacter sp. RNAcentral's name for it is "bacterial SSU rRNA". It matches the Rfam family "Bacterial small subunit ribosomal RNA", at positions 335 to 796 of the family's 1533-position model. The record is from RNAcentral. Lineage: Bacteria; Pseudomonadati; Pseudomonadota; Gammaproteobacteria; Steroidobacterales; Steroidobacteraceae.
GCCCUACGGGGGCAGCAGUGGGGAAUAUUGGACAAUGGGCGAAAGCCUGAUCCAGCGACGCCGCGUGGGUGAAGAAGGCCUGCGGGUUGUAAAGCCCUUUCGGUGGGGAAGAAAAGCCUCGACCUAAUACGUCGGGGUCUUGACGUAACCCAAGAAAGAAGCACCGGCUAACUCUGUGCCAGCAGCCGCGGUAAUACAGAGGGUGCGAGCGUUAAUCGGAAUUACUGGGCGUAAAGCGCGCGUAGGCGGCUUUGCAAGUCGGGUGUGAAAUCCCCAGGCUUAACCUGGGAACUGCACUCGAGACUGCAUUGCUAGAGUAUGGGAGAGGGAAGUGGAAUUUCCGGUGUAGCGGUGAAAUGCGUAGAUAUCGGAAGGAACAUCAGUGGCGAAAGCGACUUCCUGGACCAAUACUGACGCUCAUGUGCGAAAGCGUGGGGAGCAAACAGGAUUAGAUACCCUAGUAGUCG